UGUCAAGAAAAACAUUAAAAAGAACAAAGCUUAUAUUGAGUGUCAUUGUAUCAGUUAGUUCGGAUCAGUCAUGUAAAUAAAUUUGUAAUAGAUCUAGACUAAAAAGUAUAAACUUGCGCGAUUUGAAACAUCUUUACGAAUUGUUUUUGUGUAGCGCUAUUUGAUGUUUUAGCUUUCUCACUCCACUAUGAUCCUAUCACUUGCCUAGACCAUUUGGGAAAGCGAGGAAGGGGAGACAUAAAGGAUAUCUUGUGAAUAUCGUGAUCGCUUUUUAAGUGCAUUUUAUCUUAUUAUUUUUUUUUGCUGUAUGACUUGACUUCGAACUCAAUCGAUCAAACUUUCUCAAGCCAAUACACUAACCACUGUGCCAGCGAAGUGCUUAUGAAAUUUUUAUUGUUAUCUAUUGUGAAUUUAAAACUUUUAGGGGGACGACCUGACACUAAGUAUAAAUAAGACUAAUUCAGCUUAUACCACCAUAUCAGCCAGGUACAAGAAAUUAUUCCGCAAAAUUUCAACUUCAUCCGAGAUUAGGUGUAGGAGAUAAAACGUGUACAAACUUUUUACCAGACAGAGUGAGUUGAUAGAAGCUUGGUCGAAAUGCAUAUAGUCCAAUAAACCACUUCAAGCACAUUCAAGAUUGCUUCUUAAGCAAACAGUGAACAUUAUGUGAGCCGUGUUAUAUAUCGAAGUGGUUAUCAUUAUAUGAGCCAUGUCAUUUAUCGAUGUGGUGAUCAUUAUAUGAGUCAUGUUAUUUAUCGAUGUGGUGAUCAUUAUGUGAGCCAUGUCAUUUAUCGAUGUGGUUAUUAUGUGAGCCAUGUCAUUUAUCGAUGUGGUGAUCAUUAUGUGAGCCAUGUCAUUUAUCGAAGUGGUGAUCAUUAUGUGAGCCAUGUCAUUUAUCGAAGCGGUGAUCAUUAUGUGAGCCAUGUCAUUUAUCGAAGCGGUGAUCAUUGUGUGAGCCAUGUCAUUUAUCGAAGCGGUGAUCAUUAUGUAAGCCAUGUCAUUUAUCGAAGUGGUGAUCAUUAUGUGAGCCAUGUCAUUUAUCGAAGUGGUGAUCAUUAUGUGAGCCAUGUCAUAUAUAGAAGUGGUGAUCAUUAUGUGAGCCAUGUCAUAUAUCGAAGCGGUGAUCAUUAUGUGAGCCAUGUCAUUUAUCGAAGUGGUGAUCAUUAUGUGAGCCAUGUCAUAUAUCGAAGUGGUGAUCAUUAUGUGAGCCAUGUCAUAUAUCGAAGCGGUGAUCAUUAUGUGAGCCAUGUCAUUUAUCGAAGUGGUGAUCAUUAUGUGAGCCAUGUCAUUUAUCGAAGCGGUGAUCAUUAUGUGAGCCAUGUCAUUUAUCGAAGUGGUGAUCAUUAUGUGAGCCAUGUCAUUUAUCGAAGUGGUGAUCAUUAUGUGAGCCAUGUCAUAUAUCGAAGCGGUGAUCAUUAUGUGAGCCAUGUCAUUUAUCGAAGUGGUGAUCAUUAUGUGAGCCAUGUCGUUUAUUGAAACAGUGAACAGGACAUAUAAACACGUCUGAAAUAGCUGUGAGAUGAGUGUUCUAUUUGCAUAGUGAGAGAGAGAGAGAGAGAUAACAGGUUGCAUUGUUUGGCCUUGUCGACACUGUAUUUAGUACAGAAUAAUUGUUUGUCUAUGAGUGUGUGCAGGUACAUGUGCGAGUAUGUGAGGGAGAUGUGUGUGUGUGUGUGUGUGUAGAUGUGUGAACAUGAUGUGUUCGUACUUUUCAUUCUGAACAUUUGACCUUUCUUAUCGCUUUCUCCGUCUGUUUGUGUGUUUGUCAUGAGUAACACACAGGUUCAAAAUUUGCUGAUAUCCUCUUUUCAUUUGGGGUAUCUGUGAAUCUGUCCCCAACCUCACACCCCAGUCAAAAAUAUUUGCUACGAAAAUAAAACGACUUUGAUAACAAGUAUUACAAACUUUGAGAAAUAAGUGUAUUAAAAUGUUUGUUUACGUUUUUGCAUACGAUCUACUGUCUCAGACUCAUAAGACAGACCAUGGGCUCUAACGUUGUAUGUUAUAUUGUAUAUAAUGUCCUUUAUUUGGGAAUGGCUGGGCAUCUCUUGGUGGUGUUUGUUUUCUCUAUUCCUAGGUCUGUCAUUUUUUAAAAUUGACUUACGUUGUAUACAUUCUAUGCUAGUCCAUUCUGGAUAUAUAUAAAAACUGGAGUUCAAAAUAAAGAGCUUGUUAUAAA
Biomphalaria glabrata is the source of this 2179-nucleotide long non-coding RNA. RefSeq lists it as uncharacterized. The record is from RefSeq and is a predicted model, not a curated record. The transcript has 2 exons. NCBI's taxonomy places the organism in Eukaryota, Metazoa, Mollusca, Gastropoda, Planorbidae.